ACGUAGGGUGCAAGCGUUAAUCGGAAUUACUGGGCGUAAAGCGUGCGCAGGCGGUUGUGCAAGACAGGUGUGAAAUCCCCGGGCUUAACCUGGGAACUGCACUUAUGACUGCACAGCUGGAGUGCGGCAGAGGGGGAUGGGAUUCCGCGUGUAGCAGUGAAAUGCGUAGAGAUGCGGAGGAACACCGAUGGCGAAGGCAGCCCCCUGGGCCAA
Molecule: ribosomal RNA, 213 nt
Filed under: uncultured prokaryote
Description: partial 16S ribosomal RNA
Rfam family: Bacterial small subunit ribosomal RNA
Source: RNAcentral